AAAAAAAAAAAGAAAUCGUUGAUGUAUUUUCAAAUGGUUAGAAUUGCAAAAAAAUUCAAUUGAAUCUUAGAUUUGUCUUCACUUAAUUUUGAUUUGCAUGUGCUGUUUCGAUUUUUAGAAGUCUGAAUCUAGUUGAAUUGUAUGAUUUAUUUGUGUUUUUGUAAGUUUAUGAUUAAACUAUGAAUAUUUUACUAGAAAAAGAAAAGGUCCUGUUUUACUUCUUUACAUUAUUAAAGGAAUAAAAACACCAAUGGUUUCUUGAUUUUUUAAAACUUGACAAUUCAGUUUUCAAACCUUUUUUUUCUCAAUAAAGUUUUUGAAUAGAGAAAUUUAUUUCAUUAAGUGCAUUUGGCCGAUUUUCUUGCCCAAAUAUUUGAAAUUGACCCCUAUAAACAAUAUUACUUUCUCUCUCCUUUUUCCUAACAAAAUUCAAUUUUUUCUCUCUACCAACGUAAAAAUAAAUAUUAAGUUAAACACACUGAAAUUGUUUGAAAAUUAACACCUCAAUCUAUACAAAUAAAUAAAUAUUCGUUUAACUCGUGUGGUUUCCAAGAAAAUGAAAGAAGAAAGGCUCAUCAUGUUUUCAAGAAAAUGCAAUAAAAGUGAAUGUAAGUUCUGUUACAUGAGAAAGAAAAAUAAAGAAAAAAAAUAAUCAAAUGAUGAUUCUUGACUAUAUUUAAUUCCUCAGUUAUGAUUUUUUCUUUUUUAAAUGUUGGUGAAGAUAAAAGGAAAAUAAAUUGAAUUUUGAUAAGGAAUGAGAGAACGUAAAAUAAAGAGAGAAAGGAGGGAGUGGUAGAGAUAAAUGGGUGGAGGGGUAAAAAAUACUAUUUAGAAGGAUAAAAUGGUCCAUUUUGGUAUUUCAGCUAGUAAAUUCUGCCAAAUGCACCUAAUUGAAAAAAAUUUUCCAUUCUGGCACUUGAUUGAUAAAAAAAAGAGUUAAAAGAUUACCCCAUUUUGAAAAGUUCAGACACCACUGAUGUGAUUAUCUCUUAUUAAAAUCAUGUGGAAAUCAUCUGGGCCUUCUAAAUGGUAUGCCUUCUGCAUGUCAUUCCACAGAUCACAUGCGUGUAAUCUUGUUCCAGCAAGUCAUUCCCUGCUGCCAUGAAAUAUUUUUGUUUGAAUAUAUGCUCAUCCUAUCAUCUUUGAACAUGCAAUGCGGACUUAGUAUCUUCUGAUAAAGUGUGUCAUUUACCAUUAAUCUCACACUUGACAGUGCUGAUUAUUUAGGGAAAAUUACUAUUUAAUCUUUUUAUUUUAAUGAAAUUAACUAUUUG
RNAcentral lists this unclassified non-coding RNA (1274 nucleotides) under Hevea brasiliensis (rubber tree). Lineage: Eukaryota; Viridiplantae; Streptophyta; Magnoliopsida; Malpighiales; Euphorbiaceae. The record is from RNAcentral.